Oxyura jamaicensis (ruddy duck) is the source of this 880-nucleotide long non-coding RNA. RefSeq lists it as uncharacterized. NCBI's taxonomy places the organism in Eukaryota, Metazoa, Chordata, Aves, Anseriformes, Anatidae. The transcript is spliced from 3 exons. The record is from RefSeq and is a predicted model, not a curated record.
GCAUUUUUAAUCUCACAUACAAGAAUACAAGAGGAGGCACCUGGAGAAAGCACUGAAUGAAGGAUCUGCAUAUGUUGGAUACCAUAAAGGAAUCAAGGCCAUGACUUCAUUCAUAACUUCAUUGCAGUGGAUAGCUGCUGAGUGUGAGGAGGGGUUUAUUGUUGUUCUAUAGAUAGAAAACAGAGGAAGAAAUGAUAAUGAAUAGAGAAUAUCUUGAUGUGUGGACUCUUAAUGGGAGACUGUAGCACAAGUCUUUGACCUCGGUGACAAUGGUGACCCUCAGCAUUUCUACAAAUAGUAUCAGAAGUCCCCAAGGUGGCCAUUUGUAAAGCAAGAAAUGCUAUAAUGCUCACUUAGCAGAACUCAACUUAAAUGUUUUGCCCAGCAUCAGAGCAUCUGGCUGCAUGAGAGACAGGGGAAUAACUGUGUCUUCAGGGUGUCAGUCCACUUGCAUAGUCAUGAAACUGCCCUUGCUCUUUCUUUCCUGCUCAGUGCUUCAUUUACUGCAUGGUGUUUCUUUUGGGCCAUACAUGUCAAUGUGGGCCCUACAGAUGGCUUUCUUUAGCUUUCUAAUUCCCUCAUGAGGCAAAGGCUUUUGUAGUUGGAAGUCCCUGUGUGCUUAAAGACAAGAAGGCUAAGUUAAGUUUACCUUAGGCCGUAAGAGUCCUGUAUAGAUCCCUGAUAUUUUGCUAUACUUGGUUUUAAAGUAAAACUCAUGGGGAGAAUUAGUGUCUUUUAUUACACUAAUAGAUCCUGUGGGUCUACAAACUUAAGUGCAUGAGUCCUUCAGAUUUGAAGCCUUCCUUCUCACAUCAGUUAAUUUAAUGUUGCUUUUUCUUACACAACCCAUCUCUGUUAUGUCCUCAGAUCACUGAGUCUA